UGAAAAGGAAUUUGAGAGAGAGAGAGAGAGAGAGAUUAAGAAGGUACGUGAUCCAACGGUCUCCCAGAGCUGCAUCUCGCCUUCCUCGUAAUUCAUAUCGUGAGCAAUAGUGAUUAGGAUCAGAUGAUCUCCGUCGCGAACCACGUUAUCGAUCGCCCAGCUCAGAGCCUUCUUACUGCAGUCCGAGAAAUCCACCGCCACUCCGAUCCUUCGUCCACCACUCUCCGCCAUAACUCUCUCUGU
RNAcentral lists this small RNA (243 nucleotides) under Arabidopsis thaliana (thale cress). Its description in RNAcentral is "ATSL140490". The record is from RNAcentral. Lineage: Eukaryota; Viridiplantae; Streptophyta; Magnoliopsida; Brassicales; Brassicaceae.